AUAUGUAUAUAAUUUACAUAUGUAUAUCAUUUGUUGUUGUUAAAUAAGAGAAACAGGCAGCCUAAAAAGCUCAAACUUUAAUGAAAAAUGCUAGUUGCUGGACUUCUUACAAAUAAAAAAAAUUAUAACAAAGAAUUUUUAAAAAUAAUUUUUAAACAUGUAGAAGUUUUAGACGUCUUUGACAUGUAAUUUAAAUUAUUUAGAAAAGCCCAGCAAUAAAUCAAUAAUAAUACAUAAUAAUAAAUCAAUAAUAAUAAUAACUAAUAAUAAUAAUAAAUCAAUAAUAAAGUCCAAAAGUUAACAACAGAUUUACCCUUUAAAAAAAUAUAGAUUUACCCUACUGAUUCAUGCGAGUGAUCAAUUUGGUGUAACAUAGAUGGUAUGGUGUCGGGUUUUAAGCGAACAGUCUGGCCAGUCUUAUCAAAAUCUGUUUCCACAAAAUGGUACCACAGUGAUCCAUCUGGGUUAGCUCUUUUUAUUGCUAAGGCCCACUUUUUCCUUAAGUCUGAAUCCAUUGGAAACCUGCAAGAAAAGUUCAGUCACUGAGUCAUAAAUGUAUAAAUCUAUAUUACUAUAAUAGCCUAUUCCUAGUAUACUGUAUAUAGGUUUAACACAAUAAAGUUUACAUGUUGACAGUAAAUUAAACGUACAUCAUGCAGCAUGUUGAUAAAAGCCCUGCAGCAUCAUGCAUGUCAACAUGUGUACUAUUAAAAAAAAAGUGUACUAUUAAUGAUGCACCUGCAGCUUUAAAAGAAAAAAAAUUGUAUUUACCUGUCAAAUG
RNAcentral lists this long non-coding RNA (781 nucleotides) under Oryzias sinensis (Chinese medaka). Its description in RNAcentral is "lncRNA (ENSOSIG00000009587.1)". The record is from RNAcentral. Lineage: Eukaryota; Metazoa; Chordata; Actinopteri; Beloniformes; Adrianichthyidae.